GGAUUUUGCAGGACUCCUGGUGUACAACAGGUGAGGAUGCAUGCCUGGGUAGUGAUGCAAGUGAGCAGCCCAGUUUCUUGGCAGUGGACAUUCAGCAGGUGAAGAGCCAACUUCUGCUAAUAAGAGGUUUUGGCUGAGCUUCAGGCGUCGAAAGUUAAAAAUCUGCAGAAGGGCAUGGAUUAAAUACAGAAGUGUGGAGAAUGGAGGAAAGGCUGAAUGCGAAGAGGCUGCUUCUUCUGUCCCUAACCUCAAAAAGGCGAGAGGUGUCUUACAAAAGCAGUGUUUUGUCCUCUUCUGUAUUUCGUGCCUCCUGUGUCCAUGCCAGGAUACCUGCUUUUAUAUGGCAGACAAUGGGAGUGCAGCCGGCACUGAGCUGAAGCCUGAGCUGUUCUGCACCUCAUGUGGAUUCGAGUUCAAAUAAACAGUUUGACUCGCU
Molecule: long non-coding RNA, 436 nt
Organism: Chiroxiphia lanceolata (lance-tailed manakin)
Lineage: Eukaryota; Metazoa; Chordata; Aves; Passeriformes; Pipridae
Exons: 3
Source: RefSeq, a predicted model, not a curated record